UGGGGAUAUUGCACAAUGGGGAAACCCUGAUGCAGCGACGCCGCGUGGGUGAAGGAGCACUUCGGUGCGUAAAGCCCUAUCGGCAGGGAAGAAAAGGGGGAAACCCCAGACGGUACCUGACUAAGAAGCCCCGGCUAACUACGUGCC
This 147-nucleotide ribosomal RNA is filed under the name uncultured bacterium. RNAcentral's name for it is "partial 16S ribosomal RNA". It matches the Rfam family "Bacterial small subunit ribosomal RNA", at positions 356 to 509 of the family's 1533-position model. The record is from RNAcentral.